AGAGUUUGAUCCUGGCUCAGAUUGAACGCUGGCGGCAUCCCUUACACAUGCAAGUCGAACGGCAGCAUGAUCUAGCUUGCUAGAUUGAUGGCGAGUGGCGAACGGGUGAGUAAUACAUCGGAACGUGCCCUGUAGUGGGGGAUAACUAGUCGAAAGAUUAGCUAAUACCGCAUACGACCUGAGGGUGAAAGUGGGGGACCGCAAGGCCUCAUGCUAUAGGAGCGGCCGAUGUCUGAUUAGCUAGUUGGUGGGGUAAAGGCCCACCAAGGCGACGAUCAGUAGCUGGUCUGAGAGGACGAUCAGCCACACUGGGACUGAGACACGGCCCAGACUCCUACGGGAGGCAGCAGUGGGGAAUUUUGGACAAUGGGGGCAACCCUGAUCCAGCAAUGCCGCGUGUGUGAAGAAGGCCUUCGGGUUGUAAAGCACUUUUGUCCGGAAAGAAAUCGCACUUACUAAUAUUAGGUGUGGAUGACGGUACCGGAAGAAUAAGGACCGGCUAACUACGUGCCAGCAGCCGCGGUAAUACGUAGGGUCCAAGCGUUAAUCGGAAUUACUGGGCGUAAAGCGUGCGCAGGCGGUUGUGCAAGACCGAUGUGAAAUCCCCGGGCUUAACCUGGGAAUUGCAUUGGUGACUGCACGGCUAGAGUGUGUCAGAGGGGGGUAGAAUUCCACGUGUAGCAGUGAAAUGCGUAGAGAUGUGGAGGAAUACCGAUGGCGAAGGCAGCCCCCUGGGAUAACACUGACGCUCAUGCACGAAAGCGUGGGGAGCAAACAGGAUUAGAUACCCUGGUAGUC
Molecule: ribosomal RNA, 798 nt
Filed under: uncultured bacterium
Lineage: Bacteria
Description: bacterial SSU rRNA
Rfam family: Bacterial small subunit ribosomal RNA
Source: RNAcentral